ACGAACGCUGGCGGCAUGCCUAACACAUGCAAGUCGAACGCGACCUUCGGGUCUAGUGGCGCACGGGUGCGUAACGCGUGGGAAUCUACCCUCAGGUUCGGAAUAACUCAGAGAAAUUUGAGCUAAUACCGGAUGAUGACGUAAGUCCAAAGAUUUAUCGCCUGAGGAUGAGCCCGCUUAGGAUUAGGUAGUUGGUGAGGUAAAGGCUCACCAAGCCGACGAUCCUUAGCUGGUCUGAGAGGAUGAUCAGCCACACUGGGACUGAGACACGGCCCAGACUCCUACGGGAGGCAGCAGUGGGGAAUAUUGGACAAUGGGCGAAAGCCUGAUCCAGCAAUGCCGCGUGAGUGAUGAAGGCCUUAGGGUUGUAAAGCUCUUUUACCCGGGAUGAUAAUGACAGUACCGGGAGAAUAAGCUCCGGCUAACUCCGUG
RNAcentral lists this ribosomal RNA (432 nucleotides) under uncultured bacterium. RNAcentral describes it as "partial 16S ribosomal RNA". It matches the Rfam family "Bacterial small subunit ribosomal RNA", at positions 29 to 507 of the family's 1533-position model. The record is from RNAcentral.